RNAcentral lists this long non-coding RNA (2686 nucleotides) under Salmo salar (Atlantic salmon). RNAcentral's name for it is "lncRNA (ENSSSAG00000115931.1)". The record is from RNAcentral. Lineage: Eukaryota; Metazoa; Chordata; Actinopteri; Salmoniformes; Salmonidae.
CGCAGAGGUAUGGCAUAUUUGACGCUCUUGAACAGUCAAUCUGAAGCAGCCAUUUCUGAUUGGCUUCCAUUGCGCAUGCACACGCUAUUUUGUCCUGAUUCUGUCAACUGAUAUCUUAAUGUUUAGCGAGUAGCUAGCUAAAACCACAGACAAACAAUUAGCAUUGUAAUAGUUUUUUUGCUAGGAUAUCAAGCUGACACUAUCGUAAGGAGAGCUGCUAAGCAACUAAAGGUAUCUAGCUAGCAUACCUGGCUAAUUACCUAGAUAGGUUAGCUGUCUAGCCACAAAUGGCACAAUGAGCUAGAUAUUUCACCGGAUGUAUAAAUGUGAAUCAUCUGGUUGUCGUUUCCACUCACUACCAAAUAUGGUGAUGAGAGGAAGCUAGGUUGCCAGCAGUGAGAGAAGAUGGAGGGAGAUUUUGACGGACAUUCUGCAAAUUUUCUCAUCGAUGAAACAUUUUAUCUCCAUACAGUUUUCUGUUUCCAAAACUAGAACCAGUAACAAACAGAGUGGACUGCGGUUUGUAGACUUCACCAUUUGGAUGGAGGACAGGGAGGAAAGCCAGGAGUUAUCAUGUUCCUCAGCAACACCAGAGAGAAUCUCCACCCCUCCAGAACCAUCCAUGUCCUCCAAACACAGGAAGUCACCUAAGGGACGGCAGGAGGGAAAGAGGUCUCAACGCCAUCACACACUUGCUGCUGCCCGACUGAUAGCAAGGCAGGUUUCCCGGCCAACAGGAACACUCCGAGCCAUCUGGGUCUUCGACGGCGGAGAUCUCCCCUAAUAAUUAUGGGUCUGAGAGAUGCAGAGAGCUGACUUUCUCCAUGGUGUCACGGCCGUCGUAAGGAUUGGACCAAAAUGCAGCGGGUUGGUACCUCACGAACAGGAGACAACGAUUCAGAGUUGCAGAGGGUCUGCGUUUCUGCUAGACUGGGUUAAGAUGACAUCUAUAACUGUAUUGACCGGAUCAUCUGUUUGGGAGGAGAUGGGACUCUACUCUGCGCCUUCUCUCUCUUUAAGGUAAUGCAGCCAUCACGCUGCGUAGUCGUCUGAAGGUAAAGAUGGUGAAGGACAUGCUCCAUAGGACAAGCCAGCCAGGCCAGCAUCAGUACCAGGUCCUAUGGAGGCUGGGGGCCAGGAGUAUGGGGGCCUGAGCCAACCUGGCGUCCACAUCGGGGGCCAGCAGGACACGGAGCACAACGGCAUGCUGCCCCACAGUUACACCAACAGCGAGGCCGGGAAAGUUACUCUGCAAAUGCAGAAGGCAUGAACAGCAGCCCGGCCCAGCGCCUCAUGGCACGGCGCUGAAAAGCAGCUCUGCCAGUAGCCAACACUCUCCUGGAGACCUGUGUGGUGACAGACGUGCUGGAGAAGCUUUGUCACAGAAGACAGGCAUCCAAGUUCAUCUAUGGACCACUGUACUGUCGUAACAGGGUUGACCUUCGGAUUGCUGAGCCAGCACUUACUCAGAACCCUAAUGACAAUAGGGGUUGCAUGACAAAGGAUGGACCCCAGCAAGUCAUGUGGGGCCUGAGGCACAGUACGAAGAGCUAGGGGAUCACAAGGCAGCCGCUCCCUCACCCAUCAACACUCCCCUCAGACAGUCAGGUGACACGCCUGCAAGUGAUCUCACAGAAAAGCCCCGUCUUUUCAUUCUGUUAUGUACUGUUGACAGACAGAAAAAAAUACAUGUAAAAGAAGGGGAAAAAUAAGUAUUUAUUUUAUACCUGAAAAAACUGUUCAUGAUGAAUAUUAUUACUAGGUUUGUUUUGUUAUUGAAUUGACAGCUCCUGUCCUACUUUAUAAAAGGGUGAUGUUAUGGGUGUAAGACGGCAUGUUGAUGCAGCAGUGUUUUUACCGGUGUGCUUGACAUACCUGGAUGUAUUGCAAUGUGCUGAACAAGACUGGUUACUCGCAUCAAUGACUCUGUCUAGUCAUUUACGUUCCAGACAGCAUUGAAAGUAUUGAAAAACCAUCCAGUGGCUUUUUUCAAAACCCCCGGUAUACGGUAUAUACUGUAUAACGCCUAAGCCUAUCGUGAACUCAUCAGGGUGUCCAGUGUGGCAGUCCCCUGCACCAACCUCUCCUAACUGUAUAUGUGUGUGUCUUUCAGAGGGGUUGGGAUAAAGCAGAAGUCCUUGGACCUUGUGUUCAACAAAUAAAGGGAUCUUAAUCUUAAUAGUAUCUCUUUGCCAUUCACCCAUGUCGUCUUCCUGUCAUUUCAUGACCUUACUACUUAUCUGUCAUGACCCUAAUCAACUUGUCUUUGCAGCCAUUCCUGGGAAGCCCCUUUCUACUGUACUAUUAUUAUGUUUUAGAAUUUACUUGUAAUUUACUCUGCAGCUUCUAAUUUAAACCAUAGUACCAUUGUGGUUUUCUUAUUCACUUCCAAUUAUUAGCUAUUAUGUACAGUUUUCCAAGAGACAUCUAUGCUACGCUGCUACACUACACUGUAUGUAACAGGUGACAUCAUUCACAUGAGGUAGUGAUGGAUGCCCCAUAUUGUUGAUGUCUUCCAUGCUGUUACACAGCUAUUAUGUACCGUUUUCCAAGAAACUCGUUCAACGUUUAUGCCACACUGCUACACUAUGUAACAAUGAGGUGGUGGCGUGUAUUCAUGGGUGCCAAGAGAAGCCAGACUUCCCCAAAAAAUGUAGCAAGAAAAAUAAAUGCAGAUAAUAAUUGA